CUCCUUAAAGUUGGUUUCAAAUUUCAUUUUGACACAUGAACUUAGACUGUUUCCUAUUAAACACUUAAUCUCAAAAUAACCUAUGCCUAAUGGACAGAAAUGCUGAGGUGGCACAGUGGGUAUAACACACUUUCUUUUUGAAAGCGUGAAUACAAAAUGUUGAGUGUCAAUUUAAGAUUUGGUUAAAAAAAAUUCUUCCAUCUCUUAUUCUGGUUUCUCAUGGAUAUCACCCCACCAAGCCACCUCCAUAGCCAGUGUCUUCAUCACCAUCUCCUUCCCACCUCUACCAUUUUUGCCAAUACCACCACAAGUAACUUUCCAGCAUAAGCACCUCUAUCUCACACCGGACUAUCACUCUGAAAAUCACUUUAAGCUCCAUGAUUGGAAAGAAAACUUCGUAGCAUAAUAUCAAAACUCCACAGAUUCUUCAAAGAAUUCCACACCAAAUACACCUAAAUUGGACCAUUACAUGAAUAAUUCCAUAAACUCGAAGAGCUUAAACGUGUAAAGAUUCACAUUUCAAACUCGUUAUUUAUAAAUUUCUCAUUAAAGAAGAAAUCAAAACACCACAUAACUAUAUCCAGAUGAAACUGAAAAGGAAAAAUAAAAUAACAUAGGAUAAAAAAUUAAAAUAGAGAAUAAAUUUCUUCAAGGGUUGACAUCUGAUUCUGUGAUAGAAAAAACUUAGGAAGCUCCACCGAAAAAGUAGCCACUAAGAGCCAUGGCUUUAAAACAAAUGACAAUGAUGAGCUUUUGCCAGAGAAACCAGAGGAGUCAAUGGCAGCGGUGAAACUUCCAAGCACCACCUAUUGUUGUUCUCUUAGACGGAGAAUAGGGAAAAAUGGUUAAAAGGGAGAGUUUACAGGUGACUUGAGAGAGAUUUGAAAGAGAAAAAGGAAAAGUGAUUAUUGGGAGGGUUCAUCUAGAGACGAAGAUUAUGGGAGUGUCAUGACCCAAACCAAUGGCCGCGAUGGUCACCCGGUGCCUUACUCAAUCGAGUACCAACAUAACGUAUUUUUCGUAUCAUAUUAUCAUAGGUAAAUUAACCAGAGAGACUUUCAGAAGAUAACUAGAAUAAAGCAUAAGGGAAUUCUCGACAUAGGAUGAUACAACAUGAUAUACCGACUUAUACAUAUGACAUACGAGCCCAUUAGGUCGGCAUGAUCUUUUAUAUACUCAAAAUAUACGCCGACAAGGUCAUUCAUGUGUCUAUAUACAUGACAUGUAUCUACAAGUCUCUAAGAUUGCAUAAAUACCAUAAAGUUUGGGAUAUGGCCCCGCCAUACCGAUCAAUACAUGUUAAAAGCAUACUGACCAAAUAGGCAACUCCAAAGAAAAUGGAGCGCACCAAUACCUUCCGUUAAGCUGAUAGUCUACUUGGAGGACUCUCAACAUGUCUAUCGGGACCUUCGGUCAUAAAACGUGGUGUCCCCAGGAAAAAGGGAUAUCAAUACAAAUAAUAUACCUAGAUGUAAGGAAUGAAAAUUAAUAAAUAAAAUACAUGAGAGAAACGUGGAGUAAAUGAAUCAACAUGUAAGUAUGAAUAACUCUAUGAAUCAUUUAAUAUUUAUCAUGUCAUGCAUAUGAGUAUAAAUUUCAUACCAUGCAUAGUUAUAUGCGUACAUAACAUUAUCAAGCAUAUAAGGCAUCCCAUCAUAUCAUCUCGGCCACUGUGGGAAAAAUCAUCAACAUAUACCAUCUGAUCAGAUGCCGGUGCAUAUAUAAUGCCAUAAUCUUUCCUCAUAUCCCAUACAUAUACAUAUAUAUAUAUAUAUAUAUAUAUCAUUCAUUGUAUUCACCUCAAUGUUGAUCUACAAUCUACCGCUGAUAACUUGAAAUAUCUUAUAUAAUACAUUGCCACUAGGGCUUACGUCGUGUCAGGAAAUAUCUAAAGCGACUUGCCUAAUCCACCUAGGGGCGAUACUAUACUUCAAUAACCGUAUUAUAUAGCAUCCCUUCGUGAUUCAUCUUAUGGGGGAUAUUCUAAUCCCGUGCCGUCCGUGAAAUCCCCUUUUUUCUUCAAUUCAAUACUCAAUCGAAGACCUAAUGUUAUCCUUUAUAUAUCACAAUUACAUUGCAUAUAUAACUGAAUGCAAUGCAUAAGAAGUAAGUUAAUAAGAUUUCUCGAUAUGUCAUAAGAUCAUUACGCCUUUAAUUAAUAUCAUAAAAUACAAUUUAUCAACUUACGUAUUUUCUAAGCCCCGUGAACAAACGAUAGAAUAAUAGGACAAAAGGCGAAUCAAGAAUAUUGGAACCCUUAAUACUUUUAAGGAUAGAGUUAUUUGUGAAAGUUGCGUGUUUGCUCGUUUUAUGUGUAUCAUAUGGAUAAUGAAAGAAGGGAUAUCCUUAACAUACCUGAGUCGAUUUUCUUAACAAUCCCUCUAACCUACGUCUUUUGCAAAAAGCACAUAAUAACGGAUCGAAAUAGGGAAGAACUCGUAUGAUUUUCUCGAAAACCGUGCUCUCUUAGAAUUGGUGUUGUUGUUACGUUAUGGAAUCUCGUAUGAAUUUUU
RNAcentral lists this long non-coding RNA (2513 nucleotides) under Nicotiana benthamiana. RNAcentral's name for it is "long non-coding RNA (NBEN_LNC010362)". The record is from RNAcentral. Lineage: Eukaryota; Viridiplantae; Streptophyta; Magnoliopsida; Solanales; Solanaceae.